This 253-nucleotide ribosomal RNA is filed under the name uncultured bacterium. RNAcentral describes it as "partial 16S ribosomal RNA". It matches the Rfam family "Bacterial small subunit ribosomal RNA", at positions 524 to 776 of the family's 1533-position model. The record is from RNAcentral.
UACGUAGGGGGCUAGCGUUGUCCGGAAUCAUUGGGCGUAAAGCGCGUGUAGGCGGUCCGGUAAGUCCGCUGUGAAAGUCGGGGGCUCAACCCUCGGAUGCCGGUGGAUACUGUCGGGCUUGAGUACGGAAGAGGCGAGUGGAAUUCCUGGUGUAGCGGUGAAAUGCGCAGAUAUCGGGAGGAACACCAAUGGCGAAGGCAGCUCGCUGGGACGUGACUGACGCUGAGACGCGAAAGCGUGGGGAGCAAACAGG